UCUUUCCUAGUCCUGCCAUUCC
RNAcentral lists this microRNA (22 nucleotides) under Fragaria vesca subsp. vesca. Its description in RNAcentral is "fve-miR482b". Its record names the gene fve-miR482b. Lineage: Eukaryota; Viridiplantae; Streptophyta; Magnoliopsida; Rosales; Rosaceae. The record is from miRBase by way of RNAcentral.